RNAcentral lists this long non-coding RNA (5453 nucleotides) under Sus scrofa (pig). RNAcentral's name for it is "lncRNA (ENSSSCG00035023900.1)". Lineage: Eukaryota; Metazoa; Chordata; Mammalia; Artiodactyla; Suidae. The record is from RNAcentral.
UUUUUGCCAUUCCUUGGGCCGCUCCUGCAACAUAUGGAGGUUCCCAGGCUAGGGGUCGAAGCGGAGCUAUAGGCACCAGCCUACGCCACAGCCACAGCAACUCGGGAUCAGAGCCACAUCUGCAACCUACACCACAGCUCACGGCAAUGCCGAAUCCCUAACCCACUGAGCAAGGCCAGGGAUCGAACCUGCAACGUCAUGGCUCCUAGUCGGAUUUGUUAACCACUGAGCCACAACGGGAACUCCUGUACAUUUAAAUUUUAAAAGAUAAUUUUAAAGUCAGUUUCAGAAUGAUCUCAAUUAUUAUAAAUUUAUACUAUAGGUAUGCCCCUUCCUUCAUUAAUUAAACCUGAUGUAUAUAAAAACUUAGGUUUACAUCAGCUGUACAUUAGGGAAAGGUGGCUCUGUUUAUAAAAUAAGUAAGUAUGUGCUUUAAAACAGGAUUUAUCAUAGCUUCUUUGAAAUCGUGAGCUUAUGGUACAAUUUGAGAGCAAGUCUUGGUGAUGAAGAACACAUGAUCUGGAGCCUGACAGCUAUGUUCAGUGUGAGCUCUGCCAGCUUCUCACUGUGUGACUCUGGACAGGUGAAGUAACAUCUCUGUUUGUAAAAAAGGAGAUAGGAUAAUAUGAUCCCAUAAGGAAGUCUCAAAGAUCAAGUGGAAUUCCCGUCUUGGUGCAGCAGAAACAAAUCCAACUAGGAACCACGAGGUUGUGGGUUCGAUCCCUGGUCUCAAUGGGUUAAGGAUCUGGCAUUGCCAUGAGCCAUGGUGUAGGUUGCAGACACGGCUCGGAUCCCAUGUUGCUGUGGCUGUGGUAUAGGCCAGCAGUGUAGCUCUGAUUGGACCCCUAGCCUGGGAACCUCCAUAUGCUGUGAGUUCUGUCUUAAAAAAAGGAAAAACAAAAACAAAAACAAAAACCAAGUGAGUUCAUGUAGUUGAAGUUGUUGGCCCUGCGCCCAGCCUUCAUUGCUGCAGAACAUGAGGCAGGCCCUGAAGAACUAUCAGGGCAAGAGGAAGAGGGAGCACAUGGGCUAGAUAGAAAAUUUAAUACUGAGUACAAAGUUCUUUUCUCCAGAAAGAUCACAACAUAAUAUUCGUAUGUAUUUUUGAAAAGCAAAUAGAAGUUACUCCUUUGGGAGAUGCAGGAAGAAAUCACAAGUGCUGUUAUUUAGGUACAUGUUUCCCCUUUUAUCUCAAGAUACUUCCUCUUUGACAUCAAAUUGGUGACAAGAUCUUCCCACCCACUUCACAGUGGAUCCUAACUAGCUAAAAGAAUAAGGCAAUUUCCACAGCAGGGAAACCACAAAAAUUACAAUUCUAAUUGCCAAACUUCUUCCCAUCAGGAGUGGAGAAAGAUAGGUCCUGAGUCUCUGGGUAGAUGGUGGGUCUCUAGGUAGGUCCUGGGUCGCUAGAUGGAUAAUGAAUUGCUCUUCAAACAAUCAAUGCUAAAUAUCAUUGUAUGUAAUUUCUGUGCAUAGAAAAGUCAUGCUUUCUGAUCUUACACACGUUAGCAGUAAACUUACGGUUGAAAAAACAUUUCUUUCUUUGAAAUGAGGCUAAUUUAAAGCUAACAGGAAAGAUGAAUUUAGCAAAAACUCAAGGCAAAUGAAACUCUGGUUCAGAAAAUAUUCUUAUGUUUUGCUUUUAUCUGGGCCUAAUAUUUAAAAAUAAUGAUCCAAAUAAUGUUAAAUUGAAUAUAUAUGUAGUGGUAGAGUUCAAAAUCAAUAAUUACACAGAUUUUCUGAGUACUGAUUCAAAUUCAAUUUAUUCUGGGUUUUUAUUUCAGUCCUUCAGACUUUUCUUUUGUGUGUCUUAUCUGUGCUAAGUUGUACUGAAAAAAUUUGGUAAAGUCCAUGUCUCCUAUAUUUUUAUGUUUUUGUAUUUGAAUAUGGUAAAAAUACAGGAAAAUGUACAGAUCAUAGACAUACAACUCUGUGAAUUUUCACAAACUGAACACAACUGUGUAAUUAGUACCCAAAUCAAGAAACUGAACUGGGAGUUCCUGCCAGCCCCUCAGAAGUUACACCUCCUUCAAGUCACUGACUACUUCCAAGUGUAACCGCUAUCGUGACUUUUAACUACAUGGUUUAGUGUGUCAGUUGGGCUAUUGCUGCAUAACAACCAACCAUAAAACUCCAGUAGCACACAAAAUCAAGACUGUGGUUUUCUCACCUGGACUGGUUGUAUAGGACACUCUGGUCAUCUUGGCUGGACUCUCUCCCAUGUCUAGGGGUAGAGGACAGCUCUCUCCAGCAAGCUAGCCAGGGUAUGGCCAUGGUCAUAGCAAAAGAUACAAGAACAGAAAGAAAUACUCAAGCCACCUGUUUAUCAUGCAAGACAGGGCCUGACAGAACCAGAAUUAACAGGAGGCUAGAAAAGUGCGUUGUGCAAGUACAGGGUCAGCUUGUGUCUUUAUUAGUAAUUUUGAUAUUUUGUUCACCAUGGGGUGUUUCUUGUUUCUUGCAUUAAUUUUGAUUUAAAAACAUGUACUGCAGAAAUUGACACAGCAUUGUAAAUCAGCUAUCAUUUUUUUUAAAUGGCAUUAAAAUCUUUUUCUUUACUACUGAGAUUUUUGGUGACACUUUACAUUUUGUGUCCAGGGUAAGCAAAUGUCUUACUGGUCUCAACCUAGUGCUGGCCCUGUUGGGGAAAUAUGCUCCAUAUCCUUAGUGAGAGGAGCUACAGUCAUAUGGCAAAGGGCAUGGAGAGCAGGGAAGAUGAAGAAUCAGAGCUAGUAAUGCACUAAAAUUACCACAAUUAGUUUUGGCUAUUUUUUGUACUUUAUUAAUGAGAAUCAUCCAGAAUGUAUUCUGGCUUCUUUCCCUUGACAUUAGGUUUGUGAAAUGCAUCCAUAGGGUUGCAUGUACUUGUAAAUUGUUUGUUCUCAUUGCUGUGUAGAAUUCCAUAUUGCAAAGAUACCACAAUGUCAACGGGCAUUUGAAUAGUCACAGUCUAGAGCUGUUAUCAAUAGUGCUGCUUUGGGGAGUUCCCCAUUGUGACGAAGUGGAAACGAACCCAACUAGUAACAAUGAGGUUGAGGGUACAAUCCCUGAUCCCUCGCUCAGUGAGUUAAGGAUCCAUGAGCUGUGGUGUAGGUCCCAGGCACAGCUUGGAUCUGGCAUUGCUGUGGUUGUAGUGUAGGCCAGAGGCUACAGCUCUGAUUCGACCCCUAGCCUGGGAACCUCCAUACAGGGUACGGCCCUAAAAAGCAGGAAAAAAAAAAAGUAGUGCUGCUUUAAAUGAUCUAGUAUAAAUUUCUGUUAAAUAUCUAUGCAUUUUUUGGAGGGGACACAUACCUGGGAGUGGAAUUUCUGGGUCAGAGGCUGCAUGUAAUAUUCAUUUUUAGUAGAUACUGCUAGUGUUCUAAUAAUUCAUUUCUUUAGCUUUAUUAAAAGUCUUGAUAUUUGUUAAUAAAAGUCCUACAGUUUGUUCUCCUUUUUAGGAUGGUCUUGGCCAUCCUUGGGCCUUUGAGUUUCUAAAUGAGUUUUAGAAGGAGCUUGUCCAUCCUUCUAAAAGGGAAAAAAACUGAUAAGAUUUGUAUUUGGGUUUGCUCUAAAUCUAUAAAGUGAGGAGAAUAUAUAUCUUUACAACAUGCUUCCAAGUCUUCUUGAAUUUCUCUCCAUGUCUCAUACUUUUGUAUAUCUACUUUGAACAAAAUAGGUAGCUAGUAAGUGUAUAAAAUAGGUAAUCCGCAAAUACAUUGUUGGUAGAAGGCUUUAGACUGAAUUCUGUUUUUCAGCCAUGCUGCUCAUCCCAACACCUGAAUUUGCCCUCCUAUGGUGGAAAACCUUCCUGCCUCUAUCUUUCCAACCUGACCAAAGCUAUUAUCAAUAGUGCUGCUUUGGGGAGUUCCCCAUUGUGACGAAGUGGAAACGAACCCAACUGGUAACAAUGAGGUUGAGGGUACAAUCCCUGAACCUCAGGGAUUCCUUGACGGAUCACCUCAAAUUUCACUGCUCUGCAGAGUUAGCAGAGCUUCUCUGUGGUCUCCACUGCAUUCUCCUUUACCUGAUUUUUAAUCAGCACGGUAUAGUGUGAUGAGCUGCACCAGUGUCCACUAAACUUCUGGGUGCUAACCAGAUCCAGCCUAGCACUUGGUAGAUGUGUGCUGGAGAAAUGAAGUUGAGUUGUUUGGUGUAGGUGAUCUAUCAGUUGGUUGCUUGUUUUGUCUUUGUGGGACUUCAUUUGGAUUUAAGUUAUAGUUAAAAAAAAAAAAUGUAGUGUCCUAGUUUGGCCCUCUGGUGCAUAUCAGUCUGAUUUUUGAUCAUUGAGUUGUUUGGUGUAGGUGAUCUAUCUGUUGGUUGCUUGUUUUGCCUUUGUGGGACUUCAUUUGGAUUUAAGUUAUAGUUUAAAAAAAUGUCCUAGUUUGGCCCUCUGGUGAGAAUCAAUCUGAUUUUUUUAUUUCAUGACUCAUUUUGAUUUGAAAAAUAUCUGUAUAUAUUCAACUUCUUUCCAAUAAGGUUUUAAAGCAUAUACGUUGCUUCGUGUGCUUCACUCCACAGCUUCUAAGUUAGUUUAAAAGAAAAUCAUUAACUAAAUUUUUUUUUAAAUACCAGUAACAGGCGAGUUUGUAGCAAGGCAGUCACACCUCCAGUGACCACUAGGUGGCAGUUUCACUCUCAAUAUGACCUGCCGCCAUUUGAGGAGCCUGGAGAUCAAGCUGAACCAUGGGGUACAGCUUGUUUAACUAGGCCUUUUGGUAGAAAGAUGCAGGUUGGAAGUCAUUCCUGAAGAAAAUGGAGUUGUGGGAAUACAGCUCUUGGAAAAUGGAAGGGAAUUCCAUUAGACAUUAUUUCACUGAAAGGUUAGCCAAAAACUCAAUUGACCACAUCUGCAAAAUUAUCUAGAAAGAUGUACAAGACCACACAAUGCUGAAAGGCAAAGGAGUCUCUUGUUGGCCUUCCCCAGCUGGAGUCCAGCCCCCUGGGAUGGGGGAGGGGAGCCAGAGUGAGGGUGUUCUCUGGUAGGACCGAGCCCCUGGUCGUGUUCUUAAAUUCUCCUGGUUGGAGGCUUUAGACAACACUGGAUGAGACUCUGAUCAACUGUAUUUGAUUGACGCUAUUGUCAGCCCUGAAAUUAUGGGAGGCCCACACCAAAACUUUGCUAUGUGUUUAAGGGAUGGGGGCACACCUAUUCUGGGCAAGCAACUUUAUGGAUUUUAUCUUAUUGAAUCCUUACAGCUUUAUGAAUUAGGGAACCCUCACCCCCAUUUUAUAGAAAAGAAACAAAGGUUCAGAGCAAGUAUAUAUCUCAUCCAAAGCCACACAGUAGGAGGUUGAGGAUUAAAACUCAGCACUCUGACUGUUCCCAUAACCCCAGGCUGACUCCCAAGAAAUCCCACCCCCUUCUCAUGAGGAUGAACAUUGCCUCCUCAGAUGGCUUUGGGGUGAAGGGAGGUGACACCCGUGGAGAGAACAGCACCAUGUCUGCAGCAUGGAGGCACUAGUGAACGAGG